GAUGAACGCUAGCUACAGGCUUAACACAUGCAAGUCGAGGGGAAACGAUAUUGGAAGCUUGCUUCCGAUAGGCGUCGACCGGCGCACGGGUGAGUAACGCGUAUCCAACCUGCCCACCACUUGGGGAUAACCUUGCGAAAGGAUGACUAAUACCCAAUGACGUCUCUAGAAGACAUCUGAAAGAGAUUAAAGAUUUAUAGGUGAUGGAUGGGGAUGCGUCUGAUUAGCUUGUUGGCGGGGUAACGGCACACCAAGGCGACGAUCAGUAGGGGUUCUGAGAGGAAGGUCCCCCACAUUGGAACUGAGACACGGUCCAAACUCCUACGGGAGGCAGCAGUGAGGAAUAUUGGUCAAUGGGCGAGAGCCUGAACCAGCCAAGUAGCGUGCAGGAUGACGGCCCUAUGGGUUGUAAACUGCUUUUAUAAGGGAAUAAAGUGAGUCUCGUGAGACUUUUUGCAUGUACCUUAUGAAUAAGGACCGGCUAAUUCCGUGCCAGCAGCCGCAGUAA
RNAcentral lists this ribosomal RNA (508 nucleotides) under uncultured bacterium. RNAcentral's name for it is "partial 16S ribosomal RNA". It matches the Rfam family "Bacterial small subunit ribosomal RNA", at positions 28 to 523 of the family's 1533-position model. The record is from RNAcentral.